RNAcentral lists this transfer RNA (73 nucleotides) under Felis catus (domestic cat). It matches the Rfam family "tRNA". From Rfam's summary of the family: Transfer RNA (tRNA) molecules are approximately 80 nucleotides in length. Their secondary structure includes four short double-helical elements and three loops (D, anti-codon, and T loops). Further hydrogen bonds mediate the characteristic L-shaped molecular structure. tRNAs have two regions of fundamental functional importance: the anti-codon, which is responsible for specific mRNA codon recognition, and the 3' end, to which the tRNAs corresponding amino acid is attached (by aminoacyl-tRNA synthetases). tRNAs cope with the degeneracy of the genetic code in two manners: having more than one tRNA (with a specific anti-codon) for a particular amino acid; and 'wobble' base-pairing, i.e. permitting non-standard base-pairing at the 3rd anti-codon position. The record is from Rfam by way of RNAcentral. Lineage: Eukaryota; Metazoa; Chordata; Mammalia; Carnivora; Felidae. RNAcentral also lists the same sequence under 5 other names.
CACUGGCUGGCUCAGUAGAUGGAGCAUGUGACUCUUGAUCUCCAGGUUGUGGGUUCAAGCCCCACGUUGGUUG